CUUUUUCCUAUCUGUAUUUUGAGUUUCCUUUUAGAAAGGAGUAGGAUCCUUCAUUUAAGGAAGUUUAAAAUGAAAAUCGGUGAUUCAUUUUUUUUCGUGAUGAAGACAUCUCUCUAAAGAAAAUGAAUUGGAACAAAUGACUAAUUUUUCAUGGAUUGCCAUUCAGCCAGCAGGUUCCACAAGGAAUAAUGCUCCAGGGUUAAGAGAAAGACCUUGCAGCUUUACUGAAAGCAUCCACUUCCACAGCUUUUCCAGAAAGAACUGCUCAAUAUUCCCAGUCCCUAUGUGCUCAGUUGUGGUUCAAAGAUGUCAAAGAUGGGCUUUCUCCAAGCAUUUCUGAUGUUGUAUUGGACUUCGCAACAAGGAUAAGGCUGCUAGAGAUAGAAAAUGAUCGUGAAAGACUUUUCGCUGUGUUUCUUGUGGCCAUGCCGGCCCUCAGACAUCCCC
Molecule: long non-coding RNA, 447 nt
Filed under: Struthio camelus australis
Lineage: Eukaryota; Metazoa; Chordata; Aves; Struthioniformes; Struthionidae
Description: lncRNA (ENSSCUG00000003063.1)
Source: RNAcentral